AACGUAGGUUCCGAGCGUUAUCCGGAUUUACUGGGCGUAAAGCGCGUUCAGGCGGUUUGGCAAGUCGGGCAUGAAAUCUCUCGGCUCAACCGGGAGAGGUUGUCCGAUACUGCUGGACUUGAGGGCAGUAGAGGGUGGUGGAAUUCCGGGUGUAGUGGUGAAAUGCGUAGAUAUCCGGAGGAACACCAGUGGCGAAAGCGGCUACCUGGACUGCACCUGACGCUGACACGCGAAAGCUAGGGGAGCGAACGGG
RNAcentral lists this ribosomal RNA (253 nucleotides) under uncultured bacterium. Its description in RNAcentral is "partial 16S ribosomal RNA". It matches the Rfam family "Bacterial small subunit ribosomal RNA", at positions 524 to 776 of the family's 1533-position model. The record is from RNAcentral.